Molecule: transfer RNA, 64 nt
Filed under: Diadegma fenestrale
Lineage: Eukaryota; Metazoa; Arthropoda; Insecta; Hymenoptera; Ichneumonidae
Description: tRNA-Asn
Source: RNAcentral
UUAAUUGAAACCAAAAAGAGGUAAAUUAUUGUUAAUAAUUUAAUUGAAUAAUAUUCCAAUUAAA